Molecule: unclassified non-coding RNA, 336 nt
Filed under: soil metagenome
Description: partial contains 5.8S ribosomal RNA, internal transcribed spacer 2, and large subunit ribosomal RNA
Rfam family: 5.8S ribosomal RNA (bases 1-120)
Source: RNAcentral
GAUGAAGAACGUAGCGAAAUGCGAUAAGUAAUGUGAAUUGCAGAAUUCAGUGAAUCAUCGAAUCUUUGAACGCACAUUGCGCCCCUUGGUAUUCCGGGGGGCAUGCCUGUUCGAGCGUCAUUUCAACCCCUCAAGCUCGGCUUGGUGUUGGGCUGCGCCAGCGUUGCUGGCGGGCCUUAAAAUCAGUGGCGGUGCCGUUUGGGCUCCAAGCGUAGUAGCAUCUCUCGCUCUGGAGACCCGGCGGUUGCUUGCCAGACAAUCUCCAAAAAAACAAAGGUUUGACCUCGGAUCAGGUAGGGAUACCCGCUGAACUUAAGCAUAUCAAUAAGCGGAGGA